UACGUAGGGGGCAAGCGUUGUCCGGAUUUAUUGGGCGUAAAGCGCUCGCAGGUGGUUCGUUGCGUCGUGCGUGAAAGCCCCCGGCUCAACUGGGGAGGGUCGUGCGAUACGGGCGAACUGGAGGCCAGUAGGGGGAUGCGGAAUUCCGGGUGUAGUGGUGGAAUGCGUAGAGAUCCGGAGGAACACCAGCGGCGAAGGCGGCAUCCUGGACUGGUCCUGACACUCAGGAGCGAAAGCGUGGGGAGCGAGCCGG
RNAcentral lists this ribosomal RNA (253 nucleotides) under uncultured bacterium. RNAcentral's name for it is "partial 16S ribosomal RNA". It matches the Rfam family "Bacterial small subunit ribosomal RNA", at positions 524 to 776 of the family's 1533-position model. The record is from RNAcentral.